Molecule: ribosomal RNA, 459 nt
Filed under: uncultured bacterium
Lineage: Bacteria
Description: partial 16S ribosomal RNA
Rfam family: Bacterial small subunit ribosomal RNA
Source: RNAcentral
CCUACGGGAGGCUGCAGUGAGGAAUAUUGGUCAAUGGUCGGGAGACUGAACCAGCCAAGCCGCGUGAGGGAUGAAGGUACAGAGUAUCGUAAACCUCUUUUGUCAGGGCACAAAGGCGGGGACGCGUCCCCGGAUGAGUGUACCUGAAGAAAAAGCAUCGGCUAACUCCGUGCCAGCAGCCGCGGUAAUACGGAGGAUGCGAGCGUUAUCCGGAUUUAUUGGGUUUAAAGGGUGCGCAGGCGGUCUGUUAAGUCCGCGGUCAAAGCCCGGGGCUCAACCCCGGCCCGCCGUUGAAACGGGCAGUCGCGAGUUGGAGAGAGGUAGGCGGAAUGCGCGGUGUAGCGGUGAAAUGCAUAGAUAUCGCGCAGAACUCCGAUUGCGAAGGCAGCAUGCCGGCUCCACACUGACGCUGAGGCACGAAAGCGUGGGUAUCGAACAGGAUUAGAUACCCUUGUAGUC